Molecule: small nuclear RNA, 104 nt
Filed under: Capra hircus (goat)
Lineage: Eukaryota; Metazoa; Chordata; Mammalia; Artiodactyla; Bovidae
Source: RNAcentral
GUGCUCACUUUGGCAGCACAUAUACUAAAAUUGGAACGAUACAGAGAUUAGCAUGGCCCCUGCACAAGGAUGACACGCAAAUUCGUAAAGCGUUCCAUAUUUUU